GCUGAUGUAACUCAGUCGGUAGAGUACCACCAUGGUAAGGUGGGAGUCAAGGGUUCAAAUCCCUUCAUCAGCUCCA
This 76-nucleotide transfer RNA is filed under the name Eubacteriales Family XIII. Incertae Sedis bacterium. RNAcentral's name for it is "tRNA-Thr". It matches the Rfam family "tRNA". From Rfam's summary of the family: Transfer RNA (tRNA) molecules are approximately 80 nucleotides in length. The record is from RNAcentral. Lineage: Bacteria; Bacillati; Bacillota; Clostridia; Peptostreptococcales; Anaerovoracaceae.